GGUGAGUAAUGCCUGGGAAAUUGCCCUGAUGUGGGGGAUAACCAUUGGAAACGAUGGCUAAUACCGCAUAAUAUCUUCGGCUCAAAGAGGGGGACCUUCGGGCCUCUCGCGUCAGGAUAUGCCCAGGUGGGAUUAGCUAGUUGGUGAGGUAAGGGCUCACCAAGGCGACGAUCCCUAGCUGGUCUGAGAGGAUGAUCAGCCACACUGGAACUGAGACACGGUCCAAACUCCUACGGGAGGCAGCAGUGGGGAAUAUUGCACAAUGGGCGCAAGCCUGAUGCAGCCAUGCCGCGUGUGUGAAGAAGGCCUUCGGGUUGUAAAGCACUUUCAGUCGUGAGGAAGGUAGUGUGUUUAAUAGAUGCAUUAUUUGACGUUAGCGACAGAAGAAGCACCGGCUAACUCCGUGCCAGCAACCGCGGUAAUACGGAGGGUGCGAGCGUUAAUCGGAAUUACUGGGCGUAAAGCGCAUGCAGGUGGUGUGUUAAGUCAUAUGUGAAAGCCCGGGGCUCAACCUCGGAAUAGCAUUUGAAACUGGCAGACUAGAGUACUGUAGAGGGGGGUAGAAUUUCAGGUGUAGCGGUGAAAUGCGUAGAGAUCUGAAGGAAUACCGGUGGCGAAGGCGGCCCCCUGGACAGAUACUGACACUCAGAUGCGAAAGCGUGGGGAGCAAACAGGAUUAGAUACCCUGAUAGUCCACGCCGUAAACGAUGUCUACUUGGAGGUUGUGGCCUUGAGCCGUGGCUUUCGGAGCUAACGCGUUAAGUAGACCGCCUGGGGAGUACGGUCGCAAGAUAAAACUCAAUGAAUUGACGGGGGCCCGC
Molecule: ribosomal RNA, 821 nt
Filed under: Vibrio proteolyticus
Lineage: Bacteria; Pseudomonadati; Pseudomonadota; Gammaproteobacteria; Vibrionales; Vibrionaceae
Description: bacterial SSU rRNA
Rfam family: Bacterial small subunit ribosomal RNA
Source: RNAcentral